AGACGUAUGCAGUUUUUUUGUUUUUGUUUUUUUAAUUUUAUUUCAUUUGGCAGGGCGAAGUCUUAGUUGUGGCAUGUGGGAUGUUUGAUCUUCACUGUGGCUUGUGAAAUAUUUAGUUGUGGCAUGUGGAAUUUAGUUCCCUGACCAGGAAUCGAACCUGCCUUGGGAGCGCAGUCUUAGCCACUGGACCACCAGGGAAGUCCGUGUACUGGUUCUUAAUGAGAUCAAGAGGGUAAGCUUCUGUGCAGUUCAUUUAGACUGGAAGACAGUGCUCCUGGAACUACAUGUUGCUGAGAUCAUCCUCAUUAAAGCUGGGAAAAUUCCUUUCAGACUUUGCUUCACGACCUUGGUGACAGACAAGGGAAAGGAUGAGGGGGUGGUGUUUGAAAACUAAUGUUAUUCACCUGCCAGAGGUGAUAAAAAGUUACCUCUUGAAACAAAAGAUGGUCUGCUUAGAGUUGGGAAGAUGGCUAGUCUAACCUAGAAGAAAUGAACUGGUCACUUGGUGCUGAUUUCACAAUAAAGAGUAUCUGUAACAUCAAGGUAUUUGCACUCAUGUUACAGUAAUCUCUAAGUCAACGGGGCUCAAGCUUACUGUGGCCAUUAAGGACUCAGUGGAUCUUUCCUCUUCUGAUUAUCAUCCCUAGGAGGCCUGGAUUUGUGCAUGCUGUUUCCCAGUUUGAACCUAAACUGGGGGAAAUGCAAGAGAAGUGUUUGCUGCUGCAGGAAGUCCAGAGCCAAUCCCACUGUUAACACAUUCUCCUGCCCUGCAUCAGCACUGAUCAACUGCCUCCUCAUCCACCAACUUCAAUGCCACCGCCACCCUCACUUCAUGCUUUAGGCAGAUUUUGUGUUGCUGGGUUGGCCAAGAGUUAUCAAACAUUUCCCAAAAGCAAGACUUGAGGAAAAAGGACAGAUGAUUCCGAGUCUACAUAUGUAGCAAGGUAGGGGACAUAAAAAUUUAUAUGCAUAUCCUU
RNAcentral lists this long non-coding RNA (977 nucleotides) under Bos indicus x Bos taurus (hybrid cattle). RNAcentral's name for it is "lncRNA (ENSBIXG00005028364.1)". Lineage: Eukaryota; Metazoa; Chordata; Mammalia; Artiodactyla; Bovidae. The record is from RNAcentral.